RNAcentral lists this transfer RNA (86 nucleotides) under Dankookia rubra. RNAcentral's name for it is "tRNA-Leu". It matches the Rfam family "tRNA". From Rfam's summary of the family: Transfer RNA (tRNA) molecules are approximately 80 nucleotides in length. Their secondary structure includes four short double-helical elements and three loops (D, anti-codon, and T loops). Further hydrogen bonds mediate the characteristic L-shaped molecular structure. tRNAs have two regions of fundamental functional importance: the anti-codon, which is responsible for specific mRNA codon recognition, and the 3' end, to which the tRNAs corresponding amino acid is attached (by aminoacyl-tRNA synthetases). tRNAs cope with the degeneracy of the genetic code in two manners: having more than one tRNA (with a specific anti-codon) for a particular amino acid; and 'wobble' base-pairing, i.e. permitting non-standard base-pairing at the 3rd anti-codon position. Lineage: Bacteria; Pseudomonadati; Pseudomonadota; Alphaproteobacteria; Acetobacterales; Roseomonadaceae. The record is from RNAcentral.
GCCCCUGUGGCGGAACGGUAGACGCAGGCGACUCAAAAUCGCUCGCCCGAAAGGGUGUGGGAGUUCGAAUCUCCCCGGGGGCACCA